UAAAGAAAAAAUGAGGAAAUGCUGUGAAGAACUAAUAGAACGUUUCAGAAGCAGAACAAGUCGAGAGCAGUGAUGACCCUUUUGUUCCUGCUAGUACCUCCUGUCUGUCUGGCCGAACUCACCAUCAGAUGAUGUCUUGAACCUCACCUAGAUGGGCUGGUGGUGUGUGGCCAGGUUAAGAGCACCAACAGGAGUAAGAAAGUGACCUGCCUGGUUUUACCGUGUGUACUAGGGGAGGGGUUGAAAGCUUUCGGUUGAUACAUCACCUCUGGGAGUUGAAGAAGAAUGCAAUUAAGAGAGCUAAAGAAGUCAGUAUAGAAUCUGAAACUCAGAGGUCAACUGAUGUGUCAAAGAUACCUCCACAAAUCAGUACCUUGAUUAAAACUAAAAUUGGAGUCAUCUUCAUAUCUCCAUCUUUCUCCCUCUUCAUUAGGACCGAUUGUAGUCUGUUUCCCUCUCACUCACUUGCAAUCUUUAUUGCUUUAGUGUUGCAUUUGAUUUUUAUCUUUGUUUUUGUUUUAAAUACUGUCAUUAAAGUCAUAGAAAAAUCUAAAAUAAAACUGGUUGAAUAAAAAUUUUAAAAUCGACUCUAAUGUAAUAAACCAGACAAAAAUGAUACUUUAAAUGUUAUAUCUUCCCUUUAAACUACAAAUAUUCAUUGAGUGUAUACCCUGUAUUAGGCUGUUGGAAUAAAACAGGGAAGAAGACAGAAGAAACUGCACCGCCAUCUUAGAUCUUGCAGCCAAAUUCCUCUGAACUUUUCUCUAAAGACGUGCUCUGGAAAAAUGUUGAUCAUUUUCCUACAUCAUGGAGGUCUUUUCAUGACCACCUUUGUCUAGACAAUGUCCUGUUUUUAGGUGCACGUUUGAGGGCUGGAGUCUCUGACCCACAGUGCUGCAGCCUGCACGUGGUUUGUCCUGACUUCUUUGCUACUUCACUUUUCGUAAGGCUCUGAGAGUGCAGGCCCUUGUGGGUGGACACUGCAGGGUGAGAGGAAGAAGUAAACUACUUUUUUCCGUUUCUGAUGGGGGUGUGGGUCAGCAGCUAUAAGCAACAGGGACCAUGGGGGGCCUCAGACUUCAGCACCUGAGAGGCAGUUUCAGUCGUAUUGGGGAGAUGCAGGCAUCUGGGUUGCUGCACAUCACCAGGGCAGGGUUCUCUCAGCAGCCCUGGAGUGCAGAGUUCCCAUCAGCUCAGCAGUGAGGGGCACAUGGGGCUCCAGUGGUGAGGACUCUUGGUCCUUGGAUGACAACACUCCCCUGCCCACUUCUCCAGCCUUCCCUGUAACCCUUUGCCACCUCUAACCAAUCUUCUGUGUUACAUCUCUUCGGUUUGCAAUAUGUAGUGUUCGUAUAUGACUGGACAGUAUCUACUGGAGUUAAUAUCUAUCAGAGUAAUUAUAUCACAAUUGCAAUCUUCUCCUAAGAGUGAAUAGUGACAUUAAAAAUUUCAACAUUAUAAAUUAUGCAGAAAUAAAACUAAUUAUACAAAAAAUACACUCUGAAUGUCAGUUUUUCCCUGAGACAAUCUACCAUUUGAUAUACGGUGAUUCACACUUCUUAAUAUACAACAUUGAAUUACUUUUCCAAAAGCCUCUUCAAAUUUUGCUGCAGAAUUAAACUUCACUUGCACCAGCUCUGAAUUAUGUGUGCUUUUCCUUCUUGGUCAAUUUCAUAGGUGUAUCAUUAUUUGUCUUUUUUAAUUAAUAUGUUUAUAUAACUUUUCAUGUUUAUCCAUGUAACUACUGCUUUUGUGAAACGUGUGUUUUUAUCCUUUUCACAUUUUUUUCUAUUGAAAUGUUUUCUUUAUAAAUAUAAAUGUGUUUUUGGUAUGAAAAUAAUAACUGGCCAGAUGCGGUGGCUCACACCUGUAAUCCCAGCACUUUGAGAGGCCGAGGUGGGUGGAUCACCUGGCCUCAGGAGUUCGGGACCAGCCUGGCCAGCAUAGUGAAACCCCAUCUCUACUAAAACUACAAAAUUAGCUGGCGUGGUAGCACGUGCCCUGUAAUCCAAGCUACUUGGGAGGCUGAGACAGGAGACUCAGUCGAACCUAGGAGGCAGAAGUUGCAGCAAGCCAAGAUCACGCUAUUGCACUCCAGCCUGGGCAAAAAGAGCGAAACUCUGUCUCAAAAAGAAGAAAAAAAAUAGUAACUCUUUGUGAAUAGUAUCAACUAAAAUAUUUAUAUUUCAGUUUUCAUUCUGAUAUUUUGUUUCAUCAGAAUUUUUUAAAGUAUUUUGUUUAAUAUAUUAACUUUAAUAAUUUCAUUAACUGUCUCGUGCUUACAAAGUCUUUAUGCAUUUGGGGAUUAUGUAAAGCAUCUACCUUUACACUUUUAAUGAGUUUCAGAGGUUUUUUGGUACCUUUGAGUUAUAAUACAAAAAUAAUUUAUUUGGGUGUGAUAUGCAGUGAAUUGCUAACAUUAU
Homo sapiens (human) is the source of this 2423-nucleotide long non-coding RNA. The record is from Ensembl. Lineage: Eukaryota; Metazoa; Chordata; Mammalia; Primates; Hominidae.